This 1363-nucleotide ribosomal RNA is filed under the name uncultured bacterium. RNAcentral's name for it is "bacterial SSU rRNA". It matches the Rfam family "Bacterial small subunit ribosomal RNA", at positions 28 to 1381 of the family's 1533-position model. The record is from RNAcentral.
AUUGAACGCUGGCGGCAUGCUUUACACAUGCAAGUCGGACGGCAGCACAGAGAAGCUUGCUUCUUGGGUGGCGAGUGGCGAACGGGUGAGUAAUAUAUCGGAACGUACCGAGCAGUGGGGGAUAACUAAUCGAAAGAUUAGCUAAUACCGCAUAUUUUCUGAGGAAGAAAGCAGGGGACCAUUUGGCCUUGCGCUGUUUGAGCGGCCGAUAUCUGAUUAGCUGGUUGGUGGGGUAAAGGCCUACCAAGGCGACGAUCAGUAGCGGGUCUGAGAGGAUGAUCCGCCACACUGGGACUGAGACACGGCCCAGACUCCUGCGGGAGGCAGCAGUGGGGAAUUUUGGACAAUGGGCGCAAGCCUGAUCCAGCCAUGCCGCGUGUCUGAAGAAGGCCUUCGGGUUGUAAAGGACUUUUGUCAGGGAAGAAAAGGAUAGGGUUAAUACCCCUGUCUGAUGACGGUACCUGAAGAAUAAGCACCGGCUAACUACGUGCCAGCAGCCGCGGUAAUACGUAGGGUGCGAGCGUUAAUCGGAAUUACUGGGCGUAAAGCGGGCGCAGACGGUUACUUAAGCAGGAUGUGAAAUCCCCGGGCUCAACCUGGGAACUGCGUUCUGAACUGGGUGACUAGAGUGUGUCAGAGGGAGGUAGAAUUCCACGUGUAGCAGUGAAAUGCGUAGAGAUGUGGAGGAAUACCGAUGGCGAAGGCAGCCUCCUGGGAUAACACUGACGUUCAUGCCCGAAAGCGUGGGUAGCAAACAGGAUUAGAUACCCUGGUAGUCCACGCCGUAAACGAUGAGUGCUAAGUGUUGGAGGGUUUCCGCCCUUCAGUGCUGGAGUUAACGCAUUAAGCACUCCGCCUGGGGAUUACGACCGCAAGGUUGAAACUCAAAAGAAUUGACGGGGACCCGCACAAGCGGUGGAGCAUGUGGUUUAAUUCGAAGCAACGCGAAGAACCUUACCAGCUCUUGACAUCUUCUGCUAGCUUCAGAGAUGAAGGGUUCCCUUCGGGGACGGAAUGACAGGUGGUGCAUGGUUGUCGUCAGCUCGUGUCGUGAGAUGUUGGGUUAAGUCCCGUAACGAGCGCAACCCUUAUUGUUAGUUGCCAGCAUUGAGUUGGGCACUCUAGCAAGACUGCCGGUGAUAAACCGGAGGAAGGCGGGGAUGACGUCAAAUCAUCAUGCCCCUUAUGAGCUGGGCUACACACGUGCUACAAUGGAUGGUACAACGAGUAGCGAGACCGCGAGGUUUAGCUAAUCUCCCAAAGCCAUUCUCAGUUCGGAUUGCAGGCUGCAACUCGCCUGCAUGAAGUCGGAAUCGCUAGUAAUCGCGGAUCAGAAUGCCGCGGUGAAUUCGUUCCCGGGUCU